GAUGAACGCUGGCGGCGUGCCUAAUACAUGCAAGUCGAGCGAACAGACGAGGAGCUUGCUCCUCUGACGUUAGCGGCGGACGGGUGAGUAACACGUGGAUAACCUACCUAUAAGACUGGGAUAACUUCGGGAAACCGGAGCUAAUACCGGAUAAUAUAUUGAACCGCAUGGUUCCAUAGUGAAAGACGGUUUUGCUGUCACUUAUAGAUGGAUCCGCGCCGCAUUAGCUAGUUGGUAAGGUAACGGCUUACCAAGGCAACGAUGCGUAGCCGACCCGAGAGGGAGGAUCGGCAGCUGGGAAGUGAGGAACGGCCCAGACUCCUACGGGAGGCAGCAGUAGGGAAUCUUCCGCAAUGGGCGAAAGCCUGACGGAGCAACGCCGCGUGAGUGAUGAAGGUCUUCGGAUCGUAAAACUCUGUUAUUAGGGAAGAACAAAUGUGUAAUUAACGAUGCACGUCUUGACGGUACCUAAUCAGAAAGCCACGGCUAACUACGUG
Molecule: ribosomal RNA, 497 nt
Filed under: uncultured bacterium
Lineage: Bacteria
Description: partial 16S ribosomal RNA
Rfam family: Bacterial small subunit ribosomal RNA
Source: RNAcentral